RNAcentral lists this ribosomal RNA (531 nucleotides) under uncultured bacterium. Its description in RNAcentral is "bacterial SSU rRNA". It matches the Rfam family "Bacterial small subunit ribosomal RNA", at positions 28 to 536 of the family's 1533-position model. The record is from RNAcentral.
GACGAACGCUGGCGGCGUGCUUAACACAUGCAAGUCGAGGGAGGCCGGGCCUUCGGGCCCGAGUCGACCGGCGGACGGGUGAGUAACACGUGACCAACCUACCUUCGAGAGGGGGAUAACCUGGGGAAACCCGGGCUAAUACCGCAUGAAGCACUCUGGUCGCAUGACCUAGGUGUGAAAGGGGGCCUCUGCUUGCAAGCUCUCGCUCGAAGAGGGGGUCGCGACGUAUCAGCUAGUUGGUAGGGUAACGGCCUACCAAGGCUACGACGCGUAGUGGGUCUGAGAGGACGACCCGCCACAUUGGGACUGAGAUACGGCCCAGACUCCUACGGGAGGCAGCAGUGGGGAAUAUUGCGCAAUGGCCGAAAGGCUGACGCAGCGACGCCGUGUGUGGGAGGAAGCCCUUCGGGGUGUAAACCACUGUCAGGGGGAGAAACCAGGGCGGUCGAACAGGCCGUUCUGCUGACGGUACCUCCAAAGGAAGCGCCGGCUAACUCCGUGCCAGCAGCCGCGGUAAGACGGAGGGCGACG